Molecule: unclassified non-coding RNA, 391 nt
Filed under: soil metagenome
Description: partial contains 5.8S ribosomal RNA, internal transcribed spacer 2, and large subunit ribosomal RNA
Rfam family: 5.8S ribosomal RNA (bases 1-122)
Source: RNAcentral
GAUGAAGAACGUAGCGAAAUGCGAUACUUGGUGUGAAUUGCAGAAUCCCGUGAACCAUCGAGUCUUUGAACGCAAGUUGCGCCCGAAGCCAUUGGGCCGAGGGCACGCCUGCCUGGGCGUCACACGUCGUUGCCCCCCCAUCUACUCCUUCGGGAUUGCGGGGGGCGGAUGAUGGCCUCCCGUGCGCCUCGUCGCGCGGUUGGCAUAAAUGCCAAGUCCUCGGCGACGCACGCCACGACAAUCGGUGGUUGCGAAACCUCGGUUGCCCGUCGUGUGCGGUCGUCGCGCAUCGAGGGCUCGAAAAAAUUGCCGGGCUCCGGCUCGACUUUCAACGCGACCCCAGGUCAGGCGGGGUUACCCGCUGAAUUUAAGCAUAUCAAUAAGCGGAGGA